UGGUCGGAAGAGGUACGGUGGGACGUGCCUCAAGAAUUGAUCAGGAUUUACCGCUCUUAUGGGCGCGCAUCACGGCCCCGGUGAUGGCGAG
This is a non-coding RNA of Sulfitobacter sp. CB2047, 91 nucleotides long. Lineage: Bacteria; Pseudomonadati; Pseudomonadota; Alphaproteobacteria; Rhodobacterales; Roseobacteraceae. The record is from Rfam.